GUCGGUCUAGCUCAUGGGGUAGAGCAGCGGUCUCCAAAACUGUGUGUGAAGGGUUCGAGUCCCUUGUCCGGCGCCA
RNAcentral lists this transfer RNA (76 nucleotides) under Brevundimonas phage vB_BpoS-Gurke. RNAcentral's name for it is "tRNA-Trp". It matches the Rfam family "tRNA". From Rfam's summary of the family: Transfer RNA (tRNA) molecules are approximately 80 nucleotides in length. RNAcentral also lists the same sequence under 1 other name. Lineage: Duplodnaviria; Heunggongvirae; Uroviricota; Caudoviricetes; Jeanschmidtviridae. The record is from RNAcentral.